UUCUUUCCACGACUCUCCCUGACUCAAUAGUUAGGACUUGAGACUCACUUCGGACUCAAAUAUGUAUGACUUUCACGCAUCACGCAUCAUCUUCAUCUGUCUGUUUUCUUUCAAACUAUCUUAUUCUAACAUAUUAAAAGCAGGGCGGCACGCCUACGGGAAAAGAAACCCCAGCAAGCAGUUGCUACUCUGCACUGAAUACCACCGAAGAGUCGAGCGCGUUUCCUCCUGACCGCACACAUUGUAAUAUUUCUCAUACAAUUUUCUAUUAUUGAGAUAGACGUUACCACAAGUGAACGAAUGUACACAAAUAAUCCUCGGUUACUUCGGAAACUUUUUCAGUAUAUAUUCCUAUAACCAUAAGAAGAUAAUGCUCAACUUGAUGCUGCUCACCUACACUUUGAGUUCCGUCUCUCUGGCAGUAGCGCACUAUAAAUUUGGGGAAGAUGUCAUUUUGGCCUGCUUAGGACAAAGUACUCCAUCAAAUUAUCUUUUUGUGUUUUGGAAAUUUGGAAAAGUUGACUUCCUUUAUUAUCAGAAUGGAGAGAUUCAUCAAAAUGAUCCAAGAAAAAAAUUCUCAAGUGACAAAGAGGGAAUUGCCAAAGGCAACUUUUCCCUCACCAUCAACUCAAUCAAUUUCUUGGACAGAGGAGAAUACAGCUGCUAUUAUCAAUGCAACUCUCCUGAUGGUCCUCUGGGUAAAGGACCUCAGCACAUGUUGAAUGUUCACGGUUGGACUAAGUCUUUAAACGUGGCACUUAAGGGCACUGUGAACAUACCGCUGUACAAAUCCAGAGCAGUGGUGUUGUUUUUUGAAAAUGGGACUGAGCACAGGGUGUGCAGGGUGAAUAAUACAAAGACAGACUGUGAUCAUAGCAGGUGGUUAGCUGAAGUGGAGGAAGACACUCUAAAACUACACAGUUUCAGAGCUCAAGAUCAAGGAAUGUAUAUACUGAGAGACGUGGCAACAAAUGAGUCUAUUUGUAACAUUUCAAUAUCUCUUGUCGACGGAAAUGGAACCACUACAGUCCCACAAUCAGAAGCAAAACACACACCAAAACUUCUCUGGAAGAGAGGGUUCUUUCCUACUAUUGUCUGUUUCAUACUAUUCCUUGUUUUUGUUGUUGUUGUUGUAUGUAGAAUAUGCAGACAAGAAGGGAGAAGCGAUCGAAAUGCUGCUCCCAUAGAGAUGGACGUGAUUAACGGCAAUAAUGAACAUUAGGUCUCAUCAUCCAGCAGGAAUACCUUGGAGAUACAAAAUGAAUCCAAUUUGCAUUGCACAAAUAUGUCACAAGCAUUAUCAAUCAAUUCUACCCAUUCUUUCCUGAAUUCUCAUGUGUCAGCUGGUCCCAUUUCAUCUACAGAGCUUUCCUUUGUGGAAAAUUCUAAAUUUAAAUCUGUAAGAUUUCAGAAACAAAGCUUAUAA
This is a long non-coding RNA of Megalops cyprinoides (Indo-Pacific tarpon), 1426 nucleotides long. RefSeq lists it as uncharacterized. Lineage: Eukaryota; Metazoa; Chordata; Actinopteri; Elopiformes; Megalopidae. The transcript is spliced from 5 exons. The record is from RefSeq and is a predicted model, not a curated record.